AAAUAGCCUUGGUAGGUUUGGUAUUGAGGAUGAGACGGCGGGUAGGUUGUUGCAUAACCAGGUGGCGGCGGCGGAGAGUAGCCUUCGUAACCAGGUGGCGGUGGAGGAGGGUAGCUUUCGUAACCAGGUGGCGGUGGUGCUGAUGGGUAACCCGGUGGAAGUUGUGUUACCGGGUAACCCUGUGGUGGUGGGUAAAGAGAUCCGUAUCCCGGUGGAGGAUAAGGAGGGUCUUGAGGGGCUCUCUGGUAAUUGUUACUCAUUUUGUGGAAAUAAGAAUGGGGAGAAGGGUUCAGGCAAGGGAAGGGAAGAAAUGGG
This 315-nucleotide long non-coding RNA is filed under the name Lathyrus oleraceus (garden pea). Its description in RNAcentral is "Pisum sativum (pea) long non-coding RNA (PSAT_LNC010088)". Lineage: Eukaryota; Viridiplantae; Streptophyta; Magnoliopsida; Fabales; Fabaceae. The record is from RNAcentral.